CCAGACUCCUACGGGAGGCAGCAGUGAGGAAUAUUGGUCAAUGGCCGCAGGGCUGAACCAGCCAAGUCGCGUGAGGGAUGACGGUCCUAUGGAUUGUAAACCUCUUUUGUCAGGGAGCAAUUGGCGCUACGUGUAGCGUUAUCGAGAGUACCUGAAGAAAAAGCAUCGGCUAACUCCGUGCCAGCAGCCGCGGUAAUACGGAGGAUGCGAGCGUUAUCCGGAUUUAUUGGGUUUAAAGGGUGCGCAGGCGGAUUUUUAAGUCAGCGGUCAAAUCGUGGGGCUCAACCCCAUCCAGCCGUUGAAACUGGGGAUCUAGAGUGUGCGAGAGGUAUGCGGAAUGCGUGGUGUAGCGGUGAAAUGCAUAGAUAUCACGCAGAACUCCGAUUGCGAAGGCAGCGUACCGGCGCCCAACUGACGCUGAAGCACGAAGGCGUGGGUAUCGAACAGGAUUAGAUACCCCGGUAUUU
This 467-nucleotide ribosomal RNA is filed under the name uncultured bacterium. RNAcentral describes it as "bacterial SSU rRNA". It matches the Rfam family "Bacterial small subunit ribosomal RNA", at positions 331 to 795 of the family's 1533-position model. The record is from RNAcentral.